Molecule: unclassified non-coding RNA, 348 nt
Filed under: soil metagenome
Description: partial contains 5.8S ribosomal RNA, internal transcribed spacer 2, and large subunit ribosomal RNA
Rfam family: 5.8S ribosomal RNA (bases 1-120)
Source: RNAcentral
GAUGAAGAACGUAGCAAAAUGCGAUAAGUAAUGUGAAUUGCAGAAUUCAGUGAAUCAUCAAAUCUUUGAACGCACAUUGCGCCCGCUGGUAUUCCGGCGGGCAUGCCUGUUCGAGCGUCAUUUCAACCCUCAAGCCCCCGGGUUUGGUGUUGGGGAUCGGCUCUGCCCUUCUGGGCGGUGCCGCCCCCGAAAUACAUUGGCGGUCUCGCUGCAGCCUCCAUUGCGUAGUAGCUAACACCUCGCAACUGGAACGCGGCGCGGCCAUGCCGUAAAACCCCAACUUCUGAAUGUUGACCUCGGAUCAGGUAGGAAUACCCGCUGAACUUAAGCAUAUCAAUAAGCGGAGGA